UGGGGAAUAUUGCACAAUGGGCGAAAGCCUGAUGCAGCGACGCCGCGUGAGGGAUGACGGCCUUCGGGUUGUAAACCUCUUUCAGUAGGGACGAAGCGCAAGUGACGGUACCUGCAGAAGAAGCACCGGCUAACUACGUGCCAGCAGCCGCGGUAAUACGUAGGGUGCGAGCGUUGUCCGGAAUUACUGGGCGUAAAGAGCUCGUAGGCGGGUUGUCACGUCGUCUGUGAAAUCCUAGGGCUUAACCCUGGACGUGCAGGCGAUACGGGUUGACGUGAGUACUACAGGGGAGACUGGAAUUUCUGGUGUAGCGGUGGAAUGCACAGAUAUCAGGAAGAACACCGAUGGCGAAGGCAGGUCUCUGGGUAGUAACUGACGCUGAGGAGCGAAAGCAUGGGUAGCGAACAGG
This 409-nucleotide ribosomal RNA is filed under the name bacterium. RNAcentral's name for it is "partial 16S ribosomal RNA". It matches the Rfam family "Bacterial small subunit ribosomal RNA", at positions 355 to 776 of the family's 1533-position model. The record is from RNAcentral.